This 371-nucleotide ribosomal RNA is filed under the name uncultured bacterium. RNAcentral's name for it is "bacterial SSU rRNA". It matches the Rfam family "Bacterial small subunit ribosomal RNA", at positions 29 to 429 of the family's 1533-position model. The record is from RNAcentral.
AGCGAACGCUGGCGGCAGGCUUAACACAUGCAAGUCGUGCGCCCCGCAAGGGGAGCGGCAGACGGGAGAGUAACACGUGGGAACGUACCUUUCAGUUCGGAACAACCAAGGGAAACUUUGGCUAAUACCGGAUACGCCCGUAAGGGGAAAGAUUUAUCGCUGAAAGAUCGGCCCGCGUCUGAUUAGCUUGUUGGUGAGGUAACGGCUCACCAAGGCGACGAUCAGUAGCUGGUCUGAGAGGAUGAUCAGCCUCACUGGGACUGAGACACGGCCCAGACUCCUACGGGAGGCAGCAGUGGGGAAGUAUUGGACAAUGGGCGCAAGCCUGAUCCAGCCAUGCCGCGUGGGUGAUGAAGGCCUUAGGUUGUAAG